GGCGAAGGGCGGGUGCUAUACAUGCGUCGAGCGGACAGAAGGGAGCUUGCUCCCGGAUGUUAGCGGCGGACGGGUGAGUAACACGUGGGUAACCUGCCUGUAAGACUGGGAUAACUCCGGGAAACCGGAGCUAAUACCGGAUAGUUCCUUGAACCGCAUGGUUCAAGGAUGAAAGACGGUUUCGGCUGUCACUUACAGAUGGACCCGCGGCGCAUUAGCUAGUUGGUGGGGUAAUGGCUCACCAAGGCGACGAGCGUAGCCGACCUGAGAGGGUGAUCGGCCACACUGGGACUGAGACACGGCCCAGACUCCUACGGGAGGCAGCAGUAGGGAAUCUUCCGCAAUGGACGAAAGUCUGACGGAGCAACGCCGCGUGAGUGAUGAAGGUUUUCGGAUCGUAAAGCUCUGUUGUUAGGGAAGAACAAGUGCGAGAGUAACUGCUCGCACCUUGACGGUACCUAACCAGAAAGCCACGGCUAACUACGUGCCAGCAGCCGCGGUAAUACGUAGGUGGCAAGCGUUGUCCGGAAUUAUUGGGCGUAAAGGGCUCGCAGGCGGUUUCUUAAGUCUGAUGUGAAAGCCCCCGGCUCAACCGGGGAGGGUCAUUGGAAACUGGGAAACUUGAGUGCAGAAGAGGAGAGUGGAAUUCCACGUGUAGCGGUGAAAUGCGUAGAGAUGUGGAGGAACACCAGUGGCGAAGGCGACUCUCUGGUCUGUAACUGACGCUGAGGAGCGAAAGCGUGGGGAGCGAACAGGAUUAGAUACCCUGGUAGUCCACGCCGUAAACGAUGAGUGCUAAGUGUUAGGGGGUUUCCGCCCCUUAGUGCUGCAGCUAACGCAUUAAGCACUCCGCCUGGGGAGUACGGUCGCAAGACUGAAACUCAAAGGAAUUGACGGGGGCCCGCACAAGCGGUGGAGCAUGUGGUUUAAUUCGAA
This 936-nucleotide ribosomal RNA is filed under the name Bacillus pumilus. RNAcentral describes it as "bacterial SSU rRNA". It matches the Rfam family "Bacterial small subunit ribosomal RNA", at positions 28 to 955 of the family's 1533-position model. The record is from RNAcentral. Lineage: Bacteria; Bacillati; Bacillota; Bacilli; Caryophanales; Bacillaceae.